Molecule: transfer RNA, 65 nt
Filed under: Dipodomys ordii (Ord's kangaroo rat)
Lineage: Eukaryota; Metazoa; Chordata; Mammalia; Rodentia; Heteromyidae
Rfam family: tRNA
About the family: Transfer RNA (tRNA) molecules are approximately 80 nucleotides in length. Their secondary structure includes four short double-helical elements and three loops (D, anti-codon, and T loops).
Source: Rfam by way of RNAcentral
GGUGGCUCAGUGGUAGAGUACUUGCCUUGCAAGCAUGAGGCCCUGGGUUCAAUUCCUCAGCACCA